CCUACGGGGGGCUGCAGUGGGGAAUAUUGGACAAUGGGGGAAACCCUGAUCCAGCAAUGCCGCGUGUGUGAAGAAGGCCUGCGGGUUGUAAAGCACUUUCGGUUGGGAAGAAAAGUUUGUCGCCAAUACCGCCGAACCUUGACGUUACUGACAGAAGAAGCACCGGCUAACUCUGUGCCAGCAGCCUCGGUACUACAGAGGGUGCAAGCGUUAAUCGGAAUCUGCGGACGUGGAGCGGGCGUUGGGGGUUGAAAUCCCCGGGCUUAACCUGGGAACUGCAUUCGAUACUACAUGGCUAGAGUAUGGUAGAGGGAAGUGGAAUUUCCGGUGUAGCGGUGAAAUGCGUAGAUAUCGGAAGGAACACCAAUGGCGAAGGCAGCUUCCUGGACUAAUACUGACACUGAGGCACGAAAGCGUGGGUAGCAAACAGGAUUAGAUACCCUUGUAGUC
Molecule: ribosomal RNA, 450 nt
Filed under: uncultured bacterium
Lineage: Bacteria
Description: partial 16S ribosomal RNA
Rfam family: Bacterial small subunit ribosomal RNA
Source: RNAcentral